CCUACGGGGGGCAGCAGUGAGGAAUAUUGGUCAAUGGACGAGAGUCUGAACCAGCCAAGUAGCGUGAAGGAUGACUGCCCUAUGGGUUGUAAACUUCUUUUAUAUGGGAAUAAAAUGUUCCACGUGUGGGAUUUUGUAUGUACCAUAUGAAUAAGGAUCGGCUAACUCCGUGCCAGCAGCCGCGGUAAUACGGAGGAUUCGAGCGUUAUCCGGAUUUAUUGGGUUUAAAGGGAGCGUAGGUGGAUUGUUAAGUCAGUUGUGAAAGUUUGCGGCUCAACCGUAAAAUUGCAGUUGAAACUGGCAGUCUUGAGUACAGUAGAGGUGGGCGGAAGUCGUGGUGUAGCGGUGAAAUGCUUAGAUAUCACGAAGAACUCCGAUUGCGAAGGCAGUUCACUGGACUGCAACUGACACUGAGGCUCGAAAGUGUGGGUAUCAAACAGGAUUAGAUACCCGUGUAGUC
Molecule: ribosomal RNA, 460 nt
Filed under: uncultured bacterium
Lineage: Bacteria
Description: partial 16S ribosomal RNA
Rfam family: Bacterial small subunit ribosomal RNA
Source: RNAcentral